GAUGAACGCUGACAGAAUGCUUAACACAUGCCAGUCCACUUGAACUUCGGUUUGGGUGGCGGACGGGUGAGUAACGCGUAAAGAAUUUGCCUCACAGCUAGGGACAACAUUUGGAAACGAAUGCUAAUACCUGAUAUUAUGAUUAUAUGGCAUCGUAUAAUUAUGAAAGCUAUAUGCGCUGUGAGAGAGCUUUGCGUCCCAUUAGCUAGUUGGAGAGGUAACAGCUCACCAAGGCGAUGAUGGGUAGCCGGCCUGAGAGGGUGAUCGGCCACAAGGGGACUGAGACACGGCCCUUACUCCUACGGGAGGCAGCAGUGGGGAAUAUUGGACAAUGGACCGAGAGUCUGAUCCAGCAAUUCUGUGUGCACGAUGAAGUUUUUCGGAAUGUAAAGUGCUUUCAGUUGGGAAGAAAAAAAUGACGGUACCAACAGAAGAAGUGACGGCUAAAUACGUG
This 454-nucleotide ribosomal RNA is filed under the name uncultured bacterium. RNAcentral describes it as "partial 16S ribosomal RNA". It matches the Rfam family "Bacterial small subunit ribosomal RNA", at positions 28 to 507 of the family's 1533-position model. The record is from RNAcentral.